CCUACGGGAGGCAGCAGUGGGGAAUCUUGCACAAUGGAGGAAACUCUGAUGCAGCGAUGCCGCGUGAGUGAAGAAGGCCUUUGGGUUGUAAAGCUCUUUUGUAGGGGAAGAUAAUGACUGUACCCUAAGAAUAAGGUCCGGCUAACUUCGUGCCAGCAGCCGCGGUAAUACGAAGGGACCUAGCGUAGUUCGGAAUUACUGGGCGUAAAGCGCGCGUAGGCCGUUGAGUUAGUUAAUUGUGAAAUCCCAAAGCUUAACUUUGGAACUGCAAUUAAACUGCUCGACUAGAGUUUGAUAGAGGAAAGCGGAAUACAUAGUGUAGAGGUGAAAUUCGUAGAUAUUAUGUAGAACACCAGUUGCGAAGGCGGCUUUCUGGAUCAACACUGACGCUGAGGCGCGAAAGUAUGGGUAGCAAAGAGGAUUAGAUACCCUCGUAGUCCGUACCAUAAACGAUAGAUUGCUAGAUGUUAGGAAAUUUAUUUCAGUAUCGCAGCUAACGCAUUAAGCAAUCCGCCUGGGGAUACGACCGCAAGGUUAAAACUCAAAGGAAUUGACGG
Molecule: ribosomal RNA, 557 nt
Filed under: uncultured bacterium
Lineage: Bacteria
Description: bacterial SSU rRNA
Rfam family: Bacterial small subunit ribosomal RNA
Source: RNAcentral